GCUUAAGAAGGGAUAGCGGCUCAGGUUGCCGUGACGAGAUCCUUGUAGCAUCUGAUGGCGUCCCGGGUGUCUUCGUACCCCGCAGCGACGUCCAAGAACGCCGUCAUCCUCUGCAGUUCCUGGUCGUUGUCAUCAUCCACGAACGGCGCCACCGGGACGGCGUUCUCCGGCUGCAGGGCGUAGGCAUUGGGAUUGUCGUCGAUGAUGACAGCGCGGUCCAGCGCCCGACCGGUGGCGGCCAGAUCCUUGACGAGCGUCCCGUCACCGGCGUCGCGGCAGGCGCCGCGGUAGAGGCGGUGCGCGAACACCUCCCCGUCUGGAUCCAGGCGGUCGAGCACGAGGGAGGCGUACUCCUGCAGCCCGGCGGUGAAGACGACGACCUCGAAGGCAUCCGCCGCCGCGCGGAGGAACGCCUCGACACCCGGGCGCUUGACGACGUAGAAGGUGACCGCAUGGCCACCUAUGACGGGGCGCACGGUGAAGUCGAACCGCGAGGGCGGCGGCUCCGUCUGGGAGUGGAUGAGCGUCUCGUCGAGGUCCAGGAACAGCGUCCGCCUCCCUGGCGACGGCGGCGGCGGCAGCGCCGCGGACUGCGCGCGGACCGCGGGGUUCUGCGAAGGCAGAGGCAGAGGCGGAGGCGGAGGCGGAGGAGCCGAGGAGGAGCGGAGGCGCUGGAACCCCGCGGAGGCAGCGCGGCGCUUGCGCGAGCUGCCAAGGACGGCGAGGCGGGCGAAGAGCUUGAGGAGGCGGCGGCGGCAGGAGCGGAUGGAGCGGUCGAAGGAGGCGGCGACGGCCGUGGGCGCAGACGCGAGCGACUUGAGCGGGCUCCCGCGGCGCUUGGCGGUGGCGGGGGAAACACGGCGGCGGAGAGCAAGGCAGCGACGGGCCACCAGCGUCGGGGACGACUUCGGCGGGGUGACGCUGCCGAUGCCGGUGCCGGUACCGGUCUUGGGCGACGGCCGCGGCUUUGUGGGCGUCCUGGACACCAUCUCGCGGUCGCGCCUUCCGUCCUCGAAGGGGUGGGGGUGGCUGCUGUAAACCUGUACCGCUAGGUCCGCUACUGCUUCUGCUUCACCGCGCCAAUCGCUGGUGUAGACUGUGGUGGACUAGUGGUACUGGUGCGUUACCCGGGCGCUGGCCGCUGGGGAGGAGCAUUUGGGUUUUUGUGGAGGGAGACUAUGC
RNAcentral lists this unclassified non-coding RNA (1182 nucleotides) under Zea mays. Its description in RNAcentral is "misc RNA Zm00001eb347330". The record is from RNAcentral. Lineage: Eukaryota; Viridiplantae; Streptophyta; Magnoliopsida; Poales; Poaceae.